RNAcentral lists this ribosomal RNA (445 nucleotides) under uncultured bacterium. Its description in RNAcentral is "partial 16S ribosomal RNA". It matches the Rfam family "Bacterial small subunit ribosomal RNA", at positions 354 to 796 of the family's 1533-position model. The record is from RNAcentral.
GUAGGGAAUAUUGGACAAUGGGCGAAAGCCUGAUCCAGCCAUGCCGCGUGAUAGAUGAAGGCCCUCUGGGUUGUAAAUAUCUUUUAUCUGGGAAGAAACUCCUCUAUUCUUAGAGGCCUGACGGUACCAGAGGAAUAAGCACCGGCUAACUCCGUGCCAGCAGCCGCGGUAAUACGGAGGGUGCAAGCGUUAUCCGGAUACACUGGGUUUAAAGGGUGCGUAGGCGGGUUGAUAAGUCAGUGGUGAAAGCUCCGGGCUUAACUUGGAAACUGCCAUUGAUACUGUCAAUCUUGAAUGUCGUAGAGGUAAGCGGAAUGUUGCAUGUAGCGGUGAAAUGCUUAGAUAUGUUACAGAACACCAAUUGCGAAGGCAGCUUACUAUGCGAUAAUUGACGCUGAGGCACGAAAGCGUGGGGAGCAAACAGGAUUAGAUACCCGAGUAGUCC